This 429-nucleotide ribosomal RNA is filed under the name Gemmatimonadota bacterium. Its description in RNAcentral is "Gemmatimonadetes bacterium partial 16S ribosomal RNA". It matches the Rfam family "Bacterial small subunit ribosomal RNA", at positions 355 to 776 of the family's 1533-position model. The record is from RNAcentral. Lineage: Bacteria; Pseudomonadati; Gemmatimonadota.
UAGGGAAUCUUCGGCAAUGGACGAAAGUCUGACCGAGCAACGCCGCGUGAGUGAAGAAGGUUUUCGGUUCGUAAAACUCUGUUGUUAGAGAAGAACAAGGACGUUAGUAACUGAACGUCCCCUGACGGUAUCUAACCAGAAAGCCACGGCUAACUACGUGCCAGCAGCCGCGGUAAUACGUAGGUGGCCAGCGUUGUCCGGAUGUAUUGGGCGUCAAGCGAGCGCAGGCGGUUUCUUGUGUCUGAUGUGAAAGCCCUCGGCUUAAGCGGGGAGGGUUAUUGGAAACUGGGAGACUUGAGGUAAGAAGAGAACAGGGGAAUUCCAUGUGUAGCGGUGAAAUGCAUAGAGAUAUUGAGAAACACCAGUCGGGAAGGCUGCUCUCUGGUCUGUAACUGACGAUGAGGCUCGAAAGCGUGGGGAGCAAACAGG